Molecule: long non-coding RNA, 855 nt
Organism: Mirounga angustirostris (Northern elephant seal)
Lineage: Eukaryota; Metazoa; Chordata; Mammalia; Carnivora; Phocidae
Exons: 5
Source: RefSeq, a predicted model, not a curated record
AAAAGAGAAAUGUAGAAUACUGUAGUCAAGUCAAAAAUUCUCCAGAAGCUUGCACAAGUACAAGAAGAUAAAAACAGUACCAACUGCAUUCCCUGAGGGUAUAGGACCUGAGAGAAAUUGCAUUGGAUGAGUCUGCUUCCUUGUCUUCAUGGAUAAGAUCUGGAAUCUCAGUUUUUAUCUGGGAGCACUGUUACUUGGACUAAAAGACUGUUUCCCAACUUUUUGAAGCUAAUUGCGGGCAGGUGCCUAAAUUCUGGACAACGAGAGAGAGAUUAUUGCAAAUACAACAUUGGCUAAAUCAGUGAAUAUGGGCUUGUUGGCAGAAUGAUGCAAAGUAAUAUCCAUCAUCUUGGUACUUCCAUGCUCAUUAUUAUGGCUGGGAAUCAGGAGAACAGGAUUCUCACAGCUUCAAGGACAGCGGAAAGUCACAGAGUGAUGCAUCUAACAGUAAUCUCCUCCUCUUUAUUUACAAUGAUAAUAUUGCUCCACCAUUAUAUGUUUGAACUGAAUUUCUGGUCAUGUCAUGCUCAUGAUUCCACUGAGUUACCUGCUCUCUCUUGUCCUAUUUUGGGGCUGGAAGUGCAAGCUAUGGGUAUGGGACAAGUUUUCCUCUGUGUAAAGCUAACGACUGCCCCUGAGGGUUGAGACUACAAUUUUACAUUCAUUAAUCAUUCUGGAUAAAAAUCAAGUGAGCUAAUAAAGCAUACACACAUCACCUCUCCAUGUCUUCAUAUACAUGCAUAAAUACACACACACACACACACACAGACAACACCAUCACUCAUGCUUUGUGUAGAUGAGGUGCAAUCUCCUUUUCUACAGACAGGAUGUUUCCUCAUGCAUGGUCACUGAGUG